GAAACUUUUGGAGUUUCAAGGACGGCUGGUCACAUAACAGGCUUGACUAUGCCCUGCUUUUUUAAAUUCUGAUGUCUGUCUGCACUCUCUACAUUUUUUAUUAUAAGCAAAAGAGAAAACGAAGUUUAAUUGUCUUUCAGCUGGGUGGGCCGACUUUUGCAUUACUUGCUGAAGUUUACGAUAGAGUUGCUAGUGUAACCGUUAAACUCCUUCUAUUUCUAUGAUUUGUAAUUGGUUUUGCAACCAUAUUAUUAGUAAGCUAUCUGGAAAUGUUGGCUUUUUGGGAGCAUGCUUGAGUGUCUGCAUCUGCAUUAAAAAGUUGGUCUUGAUGAAAUUUGUUGAAACUGCUCAACUGGCAGGAGCGACCUUUAUUGCAUGUGUCUCACACAAACCUUCUGUUGAAUAAACUGCAAGAGUUGUCGAUGACAAGGUUGUGCCCAGACUUUGUUGAAGCUGACUUGCCACCCCAUGCCUUGAGCUCCGUUAGACUAGCUCUUGCCACAAAUCUUGGUCGUGCCAUCCGAGAGGAAUCAUGAUGCUCUGCUUGACAUUGUUUGAGGUCAUCAUUGUUGAAUAACCAUGCCAGAGUUUCCCUGCUAUCCCUAAUUACAAAGCAUGGGCAACCACAAUCAUCCUGGUGAAACUGGUGUGUGGCAAAUUCUCUGACUCGGACAUCUUUGUAUUGAAUCUUCACAAAGCUGAUGGUUCCCCUGACAAACUGUUGUUUAUGCUAUUAUAGAACAGCAACAACUCGAAGAAGUUGCUAAGGUUGAGCUUGAGAUGUUGUUGUCUAGGUGGCAGAAACCAAGAGAUGCCUGUUCGAGUAUUUAGAGAAAUGUUAUCUAUACAGACCACAGCAACAACACCCCCCACCAC
Long non-coding RNA from Hevea brasiliensis (rubber tree), 876 nucleotides. RefSeq lists it as uncharacterized. The transcript is spliced from 3 exons. The record is from RefSeq and is a predicted model, not a curated record. NCBI's taxonomy places the organism in Eukaryota, Viridiplantae, Streptophyta, Magnoliopsida, Malpighiales, Euphorbiaceae.